Molecule: ribosomal RNA, 220 nt
Filed under: uncultured bacterium
Lineage: Bacteria
Description: partial 16S ribosomal RNA
Rfam family: Bacterial small subunit ribosomal RNA
Source: RNAcentral
AAACGUCCCAGUUCGGAUUGUAGUCUGCAACCCGCCUACAUGAAGUCGGAAUUGCUAGUAAUCGUGGAUCAGCAUGCCACGGUGAAUACGUUCCCGGGCCUUGUACACACCGCCCGUCAAACCAUGAGAGUUGGCAACACCCGAAGCCUGUAGCUUAACCGCAAGGAUGGCGCAGUCGAAGGUGGGGUCGAUGAUUAGGGUUAAGUCGUAACAAGGUACC